This 1360-nucleotide ribosomal RNA is filed under the name metagenome. Its description in RNAcentral is "SSU rRNA". It matches the Rfam family "Eukaryotic small subunit ribosomal RNA", at positions 363 to 1801 of the family's 1831-position model. The record is from RNAcentral.
CGGAGAAUUAGGGUUCGAUUCCGGAGAGGGAGCCUGAGAAACGGCUACCGCAUCUACGGAAGGCAGCAGGAGCGAAAAUUGCCCAAUCCUGACACGGGGAGGCAGUGACAAGAAAUAACAACUCUAGGUUAUUCUUAGAAGUGUAAUGAGGAUAAUUUACAACCCUUACCGAAAGCAAUUGGAGGGCAAGUCUGGUGCCAGCAGCCGCGGUAAUUCCAGCUCCAAUAGCGUAUAUUAAAGUUGUUGCAGUUAAAAAGCUCGUAGUUGAAGUUCUGGCUGCUCGGUCCUCGAGCUCUGUAGCCGAGGAAUCGACAGUCAUCCGCUUGCAAAUAUAGUUCGCCUUUUACCGGGUGGCUAUAUGAGUAAGCAUUUUACCUUGAGAAAAACAGAGUGUUCCAGGCAGGUUUGUCCGGAAUGCAUUAGCAUGGAAUAAUAGAAUAUGACUGAAGUCUAUUUAUUGGUUUAAGGCUUUAGUAAUGAUUAAUAGGAACAGUCGGGGGCAUUGGUACUUGUCAGUCAGAGGUGAAAUUCUAGGAUUUGACAAAGACUAACAAAUGCGAAAGCAUUUGCCAAGGAUGUUUUCAUUAAUCAAGAACGGAAGUUAGGGGAUCAAAGACGAUCAGAUACCGUCCUAGUCUUAACUAUAAACUAUACCGACUCGGAUUCGGAUGAAUCAAAAAGUUCAUUCGGGACCGUAGGAGAAAUCAAAGUUUUUGGGUUCUGGGGGAAGUAUGGUCGCAAGGCUGAAACUUAAAGGAAUUGACGGUUUUGCACCACCAUGGAGUGGAGUCUGCGGCUUAAUUUGACCCAACACUGGGAAACUCAUCAGGGCAAGAAGAUUUUAGGAUUGACAGAUUGAGAGUUCUUUCUUGAUUGGUCUAGUGGUGGUGCAUGGCCGUUCUUAGUUGGUGGAGUGAUUUGUCUGGUUAAUUCCGUUAACGAACGAGACCUUAACCUGCUAACUAGUACACUGAUGACAAAUCAAUGUUACUUCUUAGAGGGACUAUGUGAUGUAAUCACAUGGAAGUUUGAGGCAAUAACAGGUCUGUGAUGCCCUUAGAUGUCCUGAGCUGCACGCGUACUACAAUGGUGCUUUCAACGAGCUUUUCCUGAUCCGAAAGGAUUUGGGUAAUCUUUUUAGUGAGCACCGUGCUUGGGAUAGAUCUUUGUAAUUAUGGAUCUUGAACUAGGAAUUCCUAGUAAGCACAGGUCAUCAGCCUGUGCUGAUUACGUCCCUGCAAAAUGUACACACCGCCCGUCGCUAUUACCGAUUGAGUGUUAAGGUGAACCUUCUCGAUAGAGCAAUCUAAAAAUUAAGUAAACCUUGACACUUAGAGGAAAUAAAAGUCGUAACAAGGUU